This 218-nucleotide long non-coding RNA is filed under the name Elaeis guineensis (African oil palm). RNAcentral describes it as "long non-coding RNA (EGUI_LNC009089)". Lineage: Eukaryota; Viridiplantae; Streptophyta; Magnoliopsida; Arecales; Arecaceae. The record is from RNAcentral.
UGCUACCUUCCUUCCGGUCUUGAUCAGAUAUAAAUUCGGUAUCAGAAGAUCUAAUUCCAUAUUUUCUUUAGUAACCUCUCAUGCAGUCACUGAUCGCUGGAUUAAUUUUCUAAAGAGCACAAACCAGCACACAAAGCUGGUUUAGGAUGGCGCUCUGCCAUUUUUUGAGUUGAGGUUCUUAACAUCAGCUAUGAUCUGACACAAGAAUCAUGGUUACU